UGGGGAACUUGAGUGCAGAAGAGGAGAGUGGAAUUCCACGUGUAGCGGUGAAAUGCGAUAGAGAUGUGGAGGAACACCAGUGGCGAAGGCGACUCUCUGGUCUGUAACUGACGCUGAGGAGCGAAAGCGUGGGGAGCGAACAGGAUUAGAUACCCUGGUAGUCCACGCCGUAAACGAUGAGUGCUAAGUGUUAGGGGGUUUCCGCCCCUUAGUGCUGCAGCUAACGCAUUAAGCACUCCGCCUGGGGAGUACGGUCGCAAGACUGAAACUCAAAGGAAUUGACGGGGGCCCGCACAAGCGGUGGAGCAUGUGGUUUAAUUCGAAGCAACGCGAAGAACCUUACCAGGUCUUGACAUCCUCUGACAAUCCUAGAGAUAGGACGUCCCCUUCGGGGGCAGAGUGACAGGUGGUGCAUGGUUGUCGUCAGCUCGUGUCGUGAGAUGUUGGGUUAAGUCCCGCAACGAGCGCAACCCUUGAUCUUAGUUGCCAGCAUUCAGUUGGGCACUCUAAGGUGACUGCCGGUGACAAACCGGAGGAAGGUGGGGAUGACGUCAAAUCAUCAUGCCCCUUAUGACCUGGGCUACACACGUGCUACAAUGGACAGAACA
RNAcentral lists this ribosomal RNA (608 nucleotides) under Bacillus subtilis. Its description in RNAcentral is "bacterial SSU rRNA". It matches the Rfam family "Bacterial small subunit ribosomal RNA", at positions 634 to 1241 of the family's 1533-position model. The record is from RNAcentral. Lineage: Bacteria; Bacillati; Bacillota; Bacilli; Caryophanales; Bacillaceae.